This 495-nucleotide ribosomal RNA is filed under the name uncultured bacterium. RNAcentral's name for it is "partial 16S ribosomal RNA". The record is from RNAcentral.
GUAGUUAGCCGGGGCUUCCUCCUUGGCUACCGUCACUUUCUUCGUCACCAAGGACAGAGGUUUACAACCCGAAGGCCUUCUUCCCUCACGCGGCGUUGCUGGGUCAGGCUUUCGCCCAUUGCCCAAUAUUCCCCACUGCUGCCUCCCGUAGGAGUCUGGACCGUGUCUCAGUUCCAGUGUGGCCGAUCAGCCUCUCAGCUCGGCUACCCAUCGUUGACUAGGUGGGCCGUUACCCCGCCUACUAUCUAAUGGGACGCGAGCCCCUCCCUCUGCGGAUUGCUCCUUUGACCUCAUCCCGAUGCCGGGUCGUGGUCUUAUGCGGUAUUAGCAGUCGUUUCCAACUGUUAUCCCCCAGUACAAGGCAGGUUACCCACGCGUUACUCACCCGUCCGCCACUCAGUCACUUUGAAGAGCAAGCUCUUCAAAGUGCUUCGUUCGACUUGCAUGUGUUAAGCACGCCGCCAGCGUUCAUCCUGAGCCAUGAUCAAACUCUGA